AUGGUGGAUAGUUUCAGAAGAGACUUUAUCACUACCUGGUCUUCCCACUGUCCACCAGUCCACCUUCGUAGUAAUCUGCAUUGGGCAACGGACCUCAACAUAUUGGUAUUUGACACCGUAGCUGAGACAUUCUGGCAGAUAGCUGCCCAGGACAGUUUGGCGAUCUGCGGUCAUUGUUGGAUAUGGGCUGUGCCCUUCCUUUGUGCCGUGCCAUCCUUAACUGUGGGGUCAUUGUUGGAUAUGGACUAUGAUGUCGAGACAUGGGGCUUUCAAUACCGGAUUACCUUGUUAGAGAUGGAGACAUCACUACUGAUUAAUUCGGGGAUGGGAUUUUACCCUACGGUGGCUAUGAUUAACGAGCAUGAGCUGUUGAUUGAGAAGCAUCUUCGUCUGUUGCAUUGUGACAUUGAUGGUGUGUUUAUAGGAAAUUUGGGAUUUGAAGAGUAUGGGUACAGCUUGACUCUUACUGGAUAUCGCCUCCAAGAGAGCCUGUCUUCACAUCCAAUGUUUCAGACACGAGAAGAAGUUGUAUCUCCAUACCCCAUGGUGGUAUAA
This 555-nucleotide ribosomal RNA is filed under the name Triticum aestivum (bread wheat). RNAcentral describes it as "partial small subunit ribosomal RNA". The record is from RNAcentral. Lineage: Eukaryota; Viridiplantae; Streptophyta; Magnoliopsida; Poales; Poaceae.